GACAAGGGGGAAGCUGUCUCUUUUUACAAUUUUUGAAUUUUACUUUUAAGUGAAAAGGCUUAAAUAAUUUGGGGGGACGAUAAGACCCUAUAAAAUUUUACAAAAUUGGGAUUUUUUUUUGAAUUAAGGUUUAAAUUCUAUAAGUUCUUAUUUGUUUUGUUGGGGCGGCAAAGAUAAAAAUUAGUAACUGUCAUUUAAUUAGAAUAAUUAUAAUUAGUUUAAUUGAUCCUUUAUUAGAGAUUAAAAGAUUAAGUUACUUUAGGGA
Molecule: ribosomal RNA, 265 nt
Filed under: Pandalus borealis (northern shrimp)
Lineage: Eukaryota; Metazoa; Arthropoda; Malacostraca; Decapoda; Pandalidae
Description: partial 16S ribosomal RNA
Source: RNAcentral